Molecule: transfer RNA, 71 nt
Filed under: Stegodyphus mimosarum
Lineage: Eukaryota; Metazoa; Arthropoda; Arachnida; Araneae; Eresidae
Rfam family: tRNA
About the family: Transfer RNA (tRNA) molecules are approximately 80 nucleotides in length. Their secondary structure includes four short double-helical elements and three loops (D, anti-codon, and T loops). Further hydrogen bonds mediate the characteristic L-shaped molecular structure. tRNAs have two regions of fundamental functional importance: the anti-codon, which is responsible for specific mRNA codon recognition, and the 3' end, to which the tRNAs corresponding amino acid is attached (by aminoacyl-tRNA synthetases). tRNAs cope with the degeneracy of the genetic code in two manners: having more than one tRNA (with a specific anti-codon) for a particular amino acid; and 'wobble' base-pairing, i.e. permitting non-standard base-pairing at the 3rd anti-codon position.
Source: Rfam by way of RNAcentral
GCUUUCACGGUGUAACGGUAGCACAUUCGGCGCGUAAUCGAGAGGUCCAGGUUCGAGUCCUGGCCAGAGCA